CUUGUGAGCAUGCUCACUGAAGCAGGGGGUGCAGUACAGAACAUUCCUGAAGCAGAGGGGCAGAGCUUAACAGAACCUUCUCAUGCGGGGACAGAGCUUAACAGAGCAUUUCUGAAAGAUCACACAGUUCAAACAGUCACAAACCAUUUUGAUACAUUGGGCGGGAGCCCAGCAACCCAAACUUACAUUUCCAAAACAACAUUCUGUGGGAAAAAAAUGGAGGCAAGGCAAGGGCCUAUCUUAUUGUGUAGCACUUCUCUAUCACCACCUGCCUCACAAGUGCAAGCUCCUCAGUUUGAUCCCUAGUACCAAAAAAAAAAAAAAAAAAGACUUAAGAUCCUGGCUUCAAUCCCCAGUACUGGGGAAAAAAAGGAAAAGAAAAAGAAAACAAAAGAAUUGAGCUGAACAACACUAUACACCACCCAGCUCUAACAGAUAUCAAUAGAACCCUGGACCCAGCAACCACAGAAUACACAUUUUUCUCAAGCUCACAUGGAAAUAUUCUCCAGGGAAGAUCUUAUGGAUCGAAUUCAGGACCUUGCACUCUCCCAGGCGCAGGCACCACUGAGCUAAAUCCCGGGCCCCCAUAGACUUCCCAACUGCAGCACUGACAUCUAAAAGACAAGAGAGCAAUGCCUUCAAAAUCUGAAGAAACUCCACUCCGCCCAAAGGAACCCAAACAAGGGCUCCAAAAGAUGGCUGCACAGUUCACCGCAAAGGUCACUCACAAAAGCCAAAAGAGCCAAGGAUGGAGCUCAGCAGCACUGCACCUGUCUGGCAAGCACAAG
RNAcentral lists this long non-coding RNA (788 nucleotides) under Heterocephalus glaber (naked mole-rat). Its description in RNAcentral is "lncRNA (ENSHGLG00000043045.1)". The record is from RNAcentral. Lineage: Eukaryota; Metazoa; Chordata; Mammalia; Rodentia; Bathyergidae.